Molecule: ribosomal RNA, 460 nt
Filed under: uncultured bacterium
Lineage: Bacteria
Description: partial 16S ribosomal RNA
Rfam family: Bacterial small subunit ribosomal RNA
Source: RNAcentral
CCUACGGGCGGCAGCAGUGAGGAAUAUUGGUCAAUGGACGCAAGUCUGAACCAGCCAUGCCGCGUGCAGGAAGACGGCUCUAUGAGUUGUAAACUGCUUUUGUACGAGGGUAAAUCCCGAUACGUGUAUCGGGUUGAAAGUAUCGUACGAAUAAGGAUCGGCCAACUCCGUGCCAGCAGCCGCGGGAAUACGGAGGAUUCAAGCGUUAUCCGGAUUUAUUGGGUUUAAAGGGUGCGUAGGCGGUUCGGUAAGUUAGAGGUGAAAUCCCGAGGCUCAACGUCGGAAUUGCCUUUGAUACUGUUCGUCUAGAGAGUAGGAGCGGUAGGCGGAAUGUGUGGUGUAGCGGUGAAAUGCUUAGAGAUCAUACAGAACACCGAUUGCGAAGGCAGCUUACCGGGCUACUUCUGACGUUGAGGCACGAAAGCGUGGGGAGCAAACAGGAUUAGAUACCCUAGUAGUC